Molecule: ribosomal RNA, 480 nt
Filed under: uncultured bacterium
Lineage: Bacteria
Description: bacterial SSU rRNA
Rfam family: Bacterial small subunit ribosomal RNA
Source: RNAcentral
UUAACGCUAGCGGCAGGCCUAAUACAUGCAAGUCGAACGGCAGCACGGGUAGCAAUACCUGGUGGCGAGUGGCGCACGGGUGCGUAACGCGUAUGCAACCUACCUUUGACUGGGGCAUAGCCCCGAGAAAUCGGGAUUAAUACCCCAUAAUAUUAAGAUAUGGCAUCAUAUUUUAAUUAAAGCUUCGGCGGUCUUAGAUGGGCAUGCGUGACAUUAGCUUGUUGGUGAGGUAACGGCUCACCAAGGCAACGAUGUCUAGGGGUUCUGAGAGGAUUUUCCCCCACACUGGUACUGAGACACGGACCAGACUCCUACGGGAGGCAGCAGUAAGGAAUAUUGGGCAAUGGACGAAAGUCUGACCCAGCCAUGCCGCGUGCAGGAUGACAGCCCUACGGGUUGUAAACUGCUUUUAUACGGGAAAAAUUCCCCGGUCGUGUAUCGGGGUUGAUGGUACCGUAAGAAUAAGCAUCGGCUAACUCC